This 490-nucleotide ribosomal RNA is filed under the name uncultured fungus. RNAcentral describes it as "eukaryotic LSU rRNA". It matches the Rfam family "Eukaryotic large subunit ribosomal RNA", at positions 62 to 585 of the family's 3401-position model. Lineage: Eukaryota; Fungi. The record is from RNAcentral.
AAACCAACAGGGAUUGCCCUAGUAACGGCGAGUGAAGCGGCAACAGCUCAAAUUUGAAAUCUGGCGCUUGCGCCCGAGUUGUAAUUUGCAGAGGAUGCUUUUGGCGCGGUGCCUUCCGAGUUCCCUGGAACGGACCUGAGGGAGACCCUCUUGACCCAACUCGUAAGCUCCUUCACGAGUGAGUAGUUGGGAAUGUGCUCUAAAUGGGAGGUAAAUUUCUUCUAAAGCUAAAUACCGGCCAGAGACCGAUAGCGCACAAGUAGAGUGAUCGAAAGAUGAAAAGCACUUUGAAAAGAGGGUUAAAUAGCACGUGAAAUUGUCAAAGGGGAAGGGUUUAUGACCAGACUUGUGCCUGGCGGAUCAUCCGGUGUUCUCACCGGUGCACUUCGCCUGGUAUAGGCCAGCAUCGGUUUCCGUAGGGGGAUAAAGGCUUUGGGAACGUAGCUCUCUCCGGGGAGUGUUAUAGCCCAUUGUGUAAUACCCUUGUGGG